RNAcentral lists this ribosomal RNA (700 nucleotides) under uncultured bacterium. Its description in RNAcentral is "bacterial SSU rRNA". It matches the Rfam family "Bacterial small subunit ribosomal RNA", at positions 56 to 751 of the family's 1533-position model. The record is from RNAcentral.
UGCAAGUCGAACGGCAGCGCGGACUUCGGUCUGGCGGCGAGUGGCGAACGGGUGAGUAAUGUAUCGGAACGUGCCUAGUAGCGGGGGAUAACUACUCGAAAGAGUAGCUAAUACCGCAUACGCCCUACGGGGGAAAGGGGGGGAUCGCAAGACCUCUCACUAUUAGAGCGGCCGAUAUCGGAUUAGCUAGUUGGUGAGGUAAAGGCUCACCAAGGCGACGAUCCGUAGCUGGUUCGAGAGGACGACCAGCCACACUGGGACUGAGACACGGCCCAGACUCCUACGGGAGGCAGCAGUGGGGAAUUUUGGACAAUGGGGGCAACCCUGAUCCAGCCAUUCCGCGUGUGCGAUGAAGGCCUUCGGGUUGUAAAGCACUUUUGGCAGGAAAGAAAUCGCACCAAUUAAUACUUGGUGUGGAUGACGGUACCUGCAGAAUAAGCACCGGCUAACUACGUGCCAGCAGCCGCGGUAAUACGUAGGGUGCAAGCGUUAAUCGGAAUUACUGGGCGUAAAGCGUGCGCAGGCGGUUCGGAAAGAGAGGUGUGAAAUCCCAGGGCUCAACCUUGGAACUGCACUUUUAACUACCGAGCUAGAGUAUGUCAGAGGGGGGUGGAAUUCCGCGUGUAGCAGUGAAAUGCGUAGAUAUGCGGAGGAACACCGAUGGCGAAGGCAGCCCCCUGGGAUAAUACUGACGCUCAUG